RNAcentral lists this ribosomal RNA (253 nucleotides) under uncultured bacterium. RNAcentral's name for it is "partial 16S ribosomal RNA". It matches the Rfam family "Bacterial small subunit ribosomal RNA", at positions 524 to 776 of the family's 1533-position model. The record is from RNAcentral.
UACGGGGGGGGUAAGCGUUGUUCGGAAUUACUGGGCGUAAAGGGCUCGUAGGCGGCCAACUAAGUCAUACGUGAAAUCCCUCAGCUUAACUGGGGAACUGCGUGUGAUACUGGAUGGCUUGGAUUUGGGAGAGGGAUGCGGAAUUCCAGGUGUAGCGGUGAAAUGCGUAGAUAUCUGGAGGAACACCGGUGGCGAAGGCGGCAUCCUGGACCAAUAUUGACGCUGAGGAGCGAAAGCCAGGGGAGCAAGCGGG